GACGAACGCUGGCGGCGUGCUUAACACAUGCAAGUCGAACGGAAAGGCCCUGCUUUUGUGGGGUGCUCGAGUGGCGAACGGGUGAGUAACACGUGAGUAACCUGCCCUUGACUUUGGGAUAACUUCAGGAAACUGGGGCUAAUACCGGAUAGGAGCUCCUGCUGCAUGGUGGGGGUUGGAAAGUUUCGGCGGUUGGGGAUGGACUCGCGGCUUAUCAGCUUGUUGGUGGGGUAGUGGCUUACCAAGGCUUUGACGGGUAGCCGGCCUGAGAGGGUGACCGGCCACAUUGGGACUGAGAUGCGGCCCAGACUCCUACGGGAGGCAGCAGUGGGGAAUAUUGCACAAUGGGCGGAAGCCUGAUGCAGCAACGCCGCGUGCGGGAUGACGGCCUUCGGGUUGUAAACCGCUUUCGCCUGUGACGAAGCGUGAGUGACGGUAAUGGGUAAAGAAGCACCGACUAACUACGU
This 467-nucleotide ribosomal RNA is filed under the name uncultured bacterium. RNAcentral's name for it is "partial 16S ribosomal RNA". It matches the Rfam family "Bacterial small subunit ribosomal RNA", at positions 28 to 506 of the family's 1533-position model. The record is from RNAcentral.